GAAGGAUCAUUACCGAGUUUUCGGGCUUCGGCUCGACUCUCCCACCCUUUGUGAACGUACCUCUGUUGCUUUGGCGGCUCCGGCCGCCAAAGGACCUCCAAACUCCAGUCAGUAAACGCAGACGUCUGAUAAACAAGUUAAUAAACUAAAACUUUCAACAACGGAUCUCUUGGUUCUGGCAUCGAUGAAGAACGCAGCGAAAUGCGAUAAGUAAUGUGAAUUGCAGAAUUCAGUGAAUCAUCGAAUCUUUGAACGCACAUUGCGCCCCUUGGUAUUCCGGGGGGCAUGCCUGUUCGAGCGUCAUUACAACCCUCAAGCUCUGCUUGGAAUUGGGCACCGUCCUCACUGCGGACGCGCCUCAAAGACCUCGGCGGUGGCUGUUCAGCCCUCAAGCGUAGUAGAAUACACCUCGCUUUGGAGUGGUUGGCGUCGCCCGCCGGACGAACCUUCUGAACUUUUCUCAAGGUUGACCUCGGAUCAGGUAGGGAUACCCGCUGAACUUAAGCAUA
Molecule: ribosomal RNA, 509 nt
Filed under: Lasiodiplodia pseudotheobromae
Lineage: Eukaryota; Fungi; Ascomycota; Dothideomycetes; Botryosphaeriales; Botryosphaeriaceae
Description: eukaryotic LSU rRNA
Rfam family: 5.8S ribosomal RNA (bases 150-303)
Source: RNAcentral